ACCGGAUACAGCGCGGACAGGAGCGUUGGUAAUACGGAGGGUGCAAUCGGUAAUCGGAAUUAUUGGGCGGAAAGCGCACGCAGGUGGCUGGGUCAGUCGAUUGGUAAAGCCCUGGGGUUAACCUGGGAAUUGCAGUCGAUACUACUCGGCUAGAGUAUGGGAGAGGGUAGUGGAAUUCCCGGUGUAGCGGUGAAAUGCGUAGAUAUCGGGAGGAACAUCAGUGGCGAAGGCGGCUACCUGGCCCAAUACUGACACUCAGGUGCGACAGCGUGGGGAGCAAACAGGAUUAGAUACCGUAGUC
Molecule: ribosomal RNA, 301 nt
Filed under: uncultured Enterococcus sp.
Lineage: Bacteria; Bacillati; Bacillota; Bacilli; Lactobacillales; Enterococcaceae
Description: bacterial SSU rRNA
Rfam family: Bacterial small subunit ribosomal RNA
Source: RNAcentral